This 1150-nucleotide ribosomal RNA is filed under the name Bordetella holmesii 35009. Its description in RNAcentral is "bacterial SSU rRNA". It matches the Rfam family "Bacterial small subunit ribosomal RNA", at positions 373 to 1527 of the family's 1533-position model. The record is from RNAcentral. Lineage: Bacteria; Pseudomonadati; Pseudomonadota; Betaproteobacteria; Burkholderiales; Alcaligenaceae.
GGGGGCAACCCUGAUCCAGCCAUCCCGCGUGUGCGAUGAAGGCCUUCGGGUUGUAAAGCACUUUGGCAGGAAAGAACGGCACGGGCUAAUAUCCUGUGCAACUGACGGUACCUGCAGAAUAAGCACCGGCUAACUACGUGCCAGCAGCCGCGGUAAUACGUAGGGUGCAAGCGUUAAUCGGAAUUACUGGGCGUAAAGCGUGCGCAGGCGGUUCGGAAAGAAAGAUGUGAAAUCCCAGGGCUUAACUUGGAACUGCAUUUUAACUACCGAGCUAGAGUGUGUCAGAGGGAGGUGAAUUCCGCGUGUAGCAGUGAAAUGCGUAGAUAUGCGGAGGAACACCGAUGGCGAAGGCAGCCUCCUGGGAUAACACUGACGCUCAUGCACGAAAGUGUGGGGAGCAAACAGGAUUAGAUACCCUGGUAGUCCACGCCCUAAACGAUGUCAACUAGCUGUUGGGGCCUUCGGGCCUUGGUAGCGCAGCUAACGCGUGAAGUUGACCGCCUGGGGAGUACGGUCGCAAGAUUAAAACUCAAAGGAAUUGACGGGGACCCGCACAAGCGGUGGAUGAUGUGGAUUAAUUCGAUGCAACGCGAAAAACCUUACCUACCCUUGACAUGUCUGGAAUCCCGAAGAGAUUUGGGAGUGCUCGCAAGAGAACCGGAACACAGGUGCUGCAUGGCUGUCGUCAGCUCGUGUCGUGAGAUGUUGGGUAAGUCCCGCAACGAGCGCAACCCUUGUCAUUAGUUGCUACGAAAGGGCACUCUAAUGAGACUGCCGGUGACAAACCGGAGGAAGGUGGGGAUGACGUCAAGUCCUCAUGGCCCUUAUGGGUAGGGCUUCACACGUCAUACAAUGGUCGGGACAGAGGGUUGCCAACCCGCGAGGGGGAGCCAAUCCCAGAAACCCGGUCGUAGUCCGGAUCGCAGUCUGCAACUCGACUGCGUGAAGUCGGAAUCGCUAGUAAUCGCGGAUCAGCAUGUCGCGGUGAAUACGUUCCCGGGUCUUGUACACACCGCCCGUCACACCAUGGGAGUGGGUUUUACCAGAAGUAGUUAGCCUAACCGCAAGGGGGGCGAUUACCACGGUAGGAUUCAUGACUGGGGUGAAGUCGUAACAAGGUAGCCGUAUCGGAAGGUGCGGCUGGAUCACC